RNAcentral lists this ribosomal RNA (253 nucleotides) under uncultured bacterium. Its description in RNAcentral is "partial 16S ribosomal RNA". It matches the Rfam family "Bacterial small subunit ribosomal RNA", at positions 524 to 775 of the family's 1533-position model. The record is from RNAcentral.
UACGAAGGGGGGCUAGCGUUGCUCGGAAUCACUGGGCGUAAAGGGUGCGUAGGCGGGUCUUUAAGUCAGGGGUGAAAUCCUGGAGCUCAACUCCAGAACUGCCUUUGAUACUGAAGAUCUUGAGUUCGGGAGAGGUGAGUGGAACUGCGAGUGUAGAGGUGAAAUUCGUAGAUAUUCGCAAGAACACCAGUGGCGAAGGCGGCUCACUGGCCCGAUACUGACGCUGAUGCACGAAAGCGUGGGGAGCAACAGG